Molecule: long non-coding RNA, 172 nt
Organism: Ylistrum balloti
Lineage: Eukaryota; Metazoa; Mollusca; Bivalvia; Pectinida; Pectinidae
Exons: 3
Source: RefSeq, a predicted model, not a curated record
GUUACGGCUGUUUGCAAACCUACCUGUGCUGCAACUAGUACUUGUAAAUGGACAUGCGAAAAUUCCUCGAACGUUGCAAUAGCUGGUGCAUAUGUGGACGUCUGCCGAGCUGUCAAUGAUACGUGUGGAUCAGCAACAGGAAAAGGGAAAUGCAAAACUAAAUGUGUAGCAA